RNAcentral lists this long non-coding RNA (5168 nucleotides) under Triticum aestivum (bread wheat). RNAcentral's name for it is "long non-coding RNA (TAES_LNC002879)". The record is from RNAcentral. Lineage: Eukaryota; Viridiplantae; Streptophyta; Magnoliopsida; Poales; Poaceae.
ACGAUCGAGGCGCCGGCAGGCCAAGGUUUGGGUUCCUCCUCCCUCCUCCGUCAAGCCACUCGCGGUCGCGGAUUAUCUCGUGCGCGGCUUAAUCGUUGCUGUGUGCUGGUCUCUCGUAAUUUCCGGUGAAGGACUUGCUCUGGGGUUAGGUUUUCAGGCUGUGAUUCUCGGUUCCUUUUCGGUUGUUCCUGUCUCCGCGAGUUCCUUGUCCCCAAGGAAUGCGUAAGCAUUCGGUUUACUCUGUUGAUGUAUUGUGUUCUAUGCAAGAUACGGAGUAUUACAGAGGAAUUGUCGUUUGUAACAGGGCCGUAGUACUGGUCCUCUAGAUUAAUUGCUUAAGUAGCCUAUUAAUCACGAUUUCGUGUUCAUCUUGGUGAUUAUAGGUAUUUAGGGCAUCUGUAUUUGUCGAUUGUGAUGCCAAGAUUGGUCCUUAUGUAUGGGCUAUAGUCAUGGUAAGAUUAGCCAACAGUUCAAGCCCUAUCUGGAAUGCGGGAAUUUGCUUGUACUUAGUUGUGGAACAGUUCAAUUACCGCAAAAACCUAGGGUUGUGUUCCCAGUUUGAGUAAAUGAUGUCAUUGAGAUGUGUGUAGCUUUAUAUUCUCAUGCUCGAUUACUUCUUCCUUGUGAUCAUCUAGGUGUAUUACAUGCCAAAAAAUAUUCUUUGCCAACGGCUUCAGUGUUCUCUUCCCCCCGGACAGUGUAUGCAGAAUCGGUCUUUUGGGAUUGUUGCCUUGCUUUAUGAUUAUUAGAUGUGUUCUCUAUUUUUAUUCUUCAAGUUUCCUUGUGGUCAGCUAGGUAUAUUAUGCUAAAAGAAAAUCUUCCGCAACUGCUUCAAUGUUCUCUUUUCCCCGAACAGUGUAUGCAGAAACGGUCUUUUAGGAUUGUUACCUUGCUUUAUGAUUAUCAGAUGUGUUCUCUUUAUGAUUCACUAUUUUUAUUCUUCAUAUUUCGUUAAUGAGUUUAGCUCUUGAGCUGAAGUUAUUGAGUUUUCGCUGCUGUGGUUUAGAGUUGGUUCAAAAUCUGGAAAUUAUUGGCAUUGAAGUACCAUUUGAUUGUCUCACCACUAGCAGAAUUAUGCAUUCAGUCUAUCCUAUCCUAUGUCAGUCCAUAUAGGUCUAGCUAUACAAAUUCUUCACUUUUAUUGUUUUGGAAUUAGCUUCUAUGGAGUUCCCUUUGUUUCCCAACAGAGUUCGUGGUGCCAUGACAUUCUCAUGUGUAUGUUCCUAAUUCAACAAUCUGUCUCUGAACUUCGCUUUUGGACUCCUGAGUACAUUUUGUUUGGGAACUGCAUACUAUGUUUGAUUUAAAUGGAUUGUUGAGAUCAAAAUCCACACGGUAGAUGAACUGAGUAUCUGAUAAGCUCCCAUGCGUAGAACACCUCUUGGAGUAUCAACUUAGCUCUAAAAUCAACCAUAUUUUUUCUGAUACGUACAACAGAUACUCCCUGCUCCAAACAUAAAAUUUGUUCAUGUAAGUAAAACCAGCAUACUGCAAAACUCCACAGUUGCUGCUAGGUUAACAAGUGUAGGUUUGAAACAGAGGGAAGGGUGGAAAAUUAGAUUAGGUAAAACCUUGUGGCACUAUACCUUGAUAAUUCUAUAGCACUGGUGCAGCAUCUGGCCCAAGUAUUUUGAGGAGUCUAUCUGUACUUUUAUUAAUCAUUAAUGUGUUGGUACAUAUAUAUUGAGAAAUGAAACUUCUGUCACGGAUGUUUUAGUUUUCUGCUUUUCUUGUUGGAAGCACGACUGCUUCUUGCAAAACCUGUUUGACAGUUUGGAUGAAAUUGUGUCACAUGCCUUAUUUAGUUUGGGAGGUACUAACCUCCUGUUGUAGUUUAGCAGUGUCUGUUCGAAAAGAAAUAUUAUUCUAGUCUUUCACUGAUCAGUUGUGUAAUUGCAUAUGAAUCGAAGCACUAGGGGGUAACCCAAGAAGGUAGAUAGCACAAAAUUCUUCACUAGGACCGUGACAACAGUGACUUUCUGUUAUUCCUACUGUUCCCUUGGUAAAACGUAUAGGAUGUACUUCUCACGAUCAGCACUGCAGCUAAGAUGAACAUGCAAUCUCUCUUUUUCUUUUAAUUUUCAGAACAUUUACAGUCUUUCUCACUACUCUGAUUCUUCUUUAUCAGUGGAUGCAAAGUCACAAACAAGAGCUUUUAGGACUUCAUGUUUUGAAACAAGUUAAAUCAUAUAGUUUCUGUUAUUUUUUCUCAUGCUCCUGUUCUCUGAACAUAUUAACUGGAAGCAUCACAUAAUUUGUUAGCUUUUUACAGACGAGUGUGCUUUGAUUUUUGUUUAAGAUUGCAGCUAUCUUCAUGUUGUUUGUUCCAUGAAUAUUCUUAUAUACCAUCAAAAUAACUUCUGUUAAUUAUGUUCAGUACUGAUGAAUUUUUUAUUGACUAUUUUGAACACUGUCAUUUUCAAGUUAAGUUUGUACUCCCUCCGUCCCAAAAUAUAAGAACGUUUUUGACAUUAUGCUAGUGUCAAAAACGUUCUUAUAUUUUGGGACGGAGCCACGGAGGGAGUACUCUGUAACCUCAUAAAAGAGCAAUAUAUUUGUUUGGCUGUUUUCUGUUAACAAUAUUUACCCCUGUUCUUUCAUGUGCAAUUUGUAAUCAUCUAUCUAACCAUAUUUCCCUUAGAAAUUAGAGCGUAUCUGUUUGUCUAUUCUAAAACUAAGGUGUAGCAUCCAAGAGCUUGUCUUCAUUUAGUAUGCUUCAGUUUGUCUAUUGUGGGUUACUCUCUCCAUUCCAAACUAAUUGAAGUUCUAGCUUUGUCCUUAUUCAAAUUUGACCAAGUCAAAAAGAAAAAUAUAUCAAGACCUACAACACCAAAUUAGUUUCAUUACACUGAACCGGAUCUUGAAAACGGGAGUGAAUUGAAUCCGACUUCUUGGGAUUUCUUACAAAAUGUAUUUCCAUUUUAUAUAUAUUUGGUAUUGUAGAUCUAAGCAUAUUUUUCUAUAGACUUGGUCAAACUUAAAGAAGUUUGACUUAGACAAACUUAGAACUUCAAUAAUUUGGAAGGGUGAGAGUUUUGGUUUCUACUCCCUCCGUUCCUAAAUACAAGUCCUUUUAGAGAUUCCACUACAAAUUACAUGCGGAUGUAUAUAGACAUAUUUUAGAGUGUGGAUUCACUCAUUUUGCUCCAUAUGUAGUCCAUAGUGAAAUCUCUAAAAAGACUUGUAUUUAGGAACGGAGGGAGUAGAAUUUAGCAUCCUGAGCUUGCCCUUAAUUUGCUACACUCCAACUAUCCAUCUUGCAAUUAUGAAUGGUAUUGUUUCUUCACUUGCCUUGUUUCUUUCCAUGUGUGAAAAAAAUGGUUUCCAACUCAUAUUGGGUAUUUCUGUUUUGAUGCCAAACGAACCUCGGAAUAUUUGCAUAAUUUCUUAUUUUUAUUAGUGUGUAAUGUUCGUCACCAUCAAGCCAACAAUUCCUGGACUGUUUCUGAUGGACCAAAAUGUGUAGGGUUCGAUAUCUUUUUUUAUUGUUAUUUUGGUUAGGUAAUUUAUGCAUAUGAUAUUCACUGUUGUGACCAUGAGGUCAUGGGUUCAAGUCCUGGAAACAGCCUCUUACAGAAAUGUAGGGAAAGGCUGCGUACUAUAGACCCAAAGUGGUCGGACCCUUCCCUGGACCCUGCGUAAGCGGGAGCUACAUGCACCAGGUUGCCCUUUUUUUUAUAUUCACUGUUGUGCAGAUCGGUUUUUUCAGCAUCACUAGAGUCAAGGAGGCUUCCCUUGGACUGGUGCUAUGCACGCCCAUCAUAUUUUAUUUAGGUUAUGCCCAGAACUCUAAUAAGUGGAGCUUAGCAGUAGCAUACAGUGACUUAUUACUGGAUUUCACUGUUAUAAGCACAUACUUAUAAAUAUUAAAUCAUGACGCAAACUGUAUAUUUAAGAAUUGUCCCCAGUAUCCACCUUAUUAUUUUGCUUGUUGUUAGGCUAUAGAAAGUGUUGCUGCAACUUGGAAUUUGGUCGUAGCAUGCUCUUUCACUAUUCUUUGUGUCUUUUUUAUCAAUGUAUUAAUGUCAAGUCACUGUAUACACUCCUGUUUUGAAACAACAUUGACGUACUGAUGAGAUUUUAUUUUCUCUUGUUUUGAAACAGGAGUCUGGACUGGAUACACUCCUUCUCUUUUGUCCCGUGUGAUAAAAGAUUUAUAGCUUAUAAUAUCACAACAAUGUAUACAACUGUGCAAACAUACAUAUUCAUUACUGCUGAACUUGUAACUGCAGUAUUGUGUAAUUCUAUAUAUCCAUUCAUCUUGUUUUUUCCAUAUUGCAUUUGGGAUCAUAGUAGAGGUUCAUCUGAGGUAUUUCUUCUUUUUGAAAAGAAAGCAUAAAAGCGUUCUAGAUCUUCAGUAUUGUGUAACACCUAGAUACUCAUUCAUGCUGUCUUUGUUUUCUCUUUUUUAACUGAAGAAACACUUAAUCUUAGGUUUUAAAACAGUUUCUGCUUAUUUUUCAGUGCCAUUUAGAAGAUUUUGGUGGCCAGAGCACAAAGCAAGUCACUGAACCAUGCUCAUGGUCUGCUGGAAUAUCACACUAAAACUUCAUGCUUGUAAGUUUCCUCAUUUGUGAACCCUGAAUGAUUAACCUCAUACAAACCAGACAUCAAAUAUAUUUCAGUACAUAGUAGUCGUGCAAAACUUGCAUCUGUCAUAUUAGGAACUCAUUGUUGUCGAUAUGUACAUGUUAACUGAUGUUGGGCCUCCACAACCCACUACUGGCAUGACUAAAAGAGCCAGUCUUACAUCUUUUGUUAGGGAAACUACUAUACAUCUUAGACUUGUGGAGUAAUUUACAAGAUGCACAUACAAAUCUCUUCGGCACCUGAACAAAAUCACUAAUUCCAACACACCUAGUGUGCUGCCACACAUGGCAUGAGUCACAAGAUAGCAUCCUCUCACCAUCAUCAUCCUUCGCUCCACAUGAACAAUUAACUGUCCAUUGGUCUACACCCCUCUCCAUCCGAUAAAUUGCAACCCUGCGCUCACCUCCGACGCACUUGCCUUGGAUACUGACAGUCCCUUUUGCUCCAAAUAAGAGCUUGACUUGAGUUGUGUCAUCUGCAGUUGGACAAUCAAGAAGCUGGUUUGCUACAAAGCUUUGUAGCAUCAAGUAGAUACUUUGGAAUGUUCUCACAGCCUCCAUCUUCAGAUCAGCAACAGU